RNAcentral lists this ribosomal RNA (403 nucleotides) under uncultured bacterium. RNAcentral describes it as "partial 16S ribosomal RNA". It matches the Rfam family "Bacterial small subunit ribosomal RNA", at positions 30 to 526 of the family's 1533-position model. The record is from RNAcentral.
AUUGAACGCUGGCGGCAGGCCUAACACAUGCAAGUCGAGCGAGCGGCGGACGGGUGAGUAAUGUAUGGGGACUGCCCGAUAGAGGGGGAUAACUAAUGGCAACGGUGGCUAAUCCCGCAUACUAUCGGAUAACCCAUAUGGGAUUCGCUAGUAGGUGGGGUAAAGGCUCACCUAGGCGACGAUCUCUAUCUGGUCUUAGAGGAUGAUAAGCCACACUGGGACUGAGACACGGUCCAGACUCCUACGGAGGCAGCAGUGGGGAAUAUUGCACAAUGGGCGCAAGCCGGAUGCUGCAAUGCCGCGUGGAUGAAGAAGGCCUUAGGGUUGUAAAGUACUUUCAGCGGUGAGGCGUUACCCGCAGAAGAAGCACCGGCUAACACCGUGCCAGCCGCCGCGGUAAUAC